GGGGCGGUGGCGGAACGGUAGACGCUGCGGACUUAAAAUCCGUUCCGGGGUGACCCGGGUGUGGGUUCGAAUCCCACCCGCCCUA
RNAcentral lists this transfer RNA (85 nucleotides) under Chloroflexota bacterium. Its description in RNAcentral is "tRNA-Leu". It matches the Rfam family "tRNA". Rfam says of the family: Transfer RNA (tRNA) molecules are approximately 80 nucleotides in length. Their secondary structure includes four short double-helical elements and three loops (D, anti-codon, and T loops). The record is from RNAcentral. Lineage: Bacteria; Bacillati; Chloroflexota.